AAGACUAUAGACCUGCGGAGUACCUGCGGAGGGAUCAUUAACAAAUCUGAGUUGUGGGUGUGUGGUGCGUGCAUGUGUAUGCGUCAAGUGUACACCGUGCACAAUCCGCUCGCCUACACAUUUACCCCGAGCCGGUCUAAACAGCCGGCUUUGGUUUGAGCCUUUGGGCUCAGGCGAUGGCUGUACGCGGUGUAGGGAGGGGGGGAGGGGGGAGAGCAGCGCUGCUGCCUUUCCCUCUCU
This 240-nucleotide unclassified non-coding RNA is filed under the name soil metagenome. RNAcentral describes it as "partial contains 5.8S ribosomal RNA, internal transcribed spacer 2, and large subunit ribosomal RNA". The record is from RNAcentral.